AGUUAUAAUAUAAUUUUGGUUAUAGAAAAGUCUUUGUUUUCCAUUUGGAAGACAACUUUUGUUAUAAAUGAAAACAAGGGAAAACAGCUAAGUUGUUUUUCGAAUCUUAGUUAAAUUUUAGAAAAUUGAAAAACUAGUUUUCCAAAUGGAAAACUGGCACAUAUAAAUAUGAAACUUUGUAUUUUAGUUUUCUUAGAAAACUUAUCAAGAAAACUACCCUAGUUUUCCACCAGUG
RNAcentral lists this unclassified non-coding RNA (235 nucleotides) under Hevea brasiliensis (rubber tree). The record is from RNAcentral. Lineage: Eukaryota; Viridiplantae; Streptophyta; Magnoliopsida; Malpighiales; Euphorbiaceae.